Cyprinus carpio carpio is the source of this 2100-nucleotide long non-coding RNA. The record is from Ensembl. Lineage: Eukaryota; Metazoa; Chordata; Actinopteri; Cypriniformes; Cyprinidae.
AUACUAAUACCAAACCUACGUUAAAGUAAAUACAAAACAAUACAUUUGUUUUGUUUAAAUUCAGUUUAGAUAUUUUUAUUUGGAAUUUUAUAAAGUGAAAUGCUUUGUAAUUACACUUUUUUAAUUAUUUAUGCAUAAACAAAACUUAGAAUUACGUACUGUACAAUAAAGAAAACUAAAUUAAAAUUAGAAAGUAGUUUUUUAAAAAUACAGCAUAAAUAAGAUAGCAACUUACAUAUACAUCCCUGAAUGCAUUGUGAAAAUAACUGAUCCAAGACGAUAGACAAGUCAAGCUAGAAAUAUACUCCAAAAAAUCAAUAAAAAUAGUUAAAUGUAGUUAAAAAAUUGCUAAGUUAUGCACUAUUUGUGUAAUUUGAUACGCAUUUUUCUUUGUUGUUAGCAUCAAACUCUACUAAAAUCAAGUGUAACUCAAGACUCAAAUUAAGCUAAAAAUAAAUAAAUAAAUAAAUAAACCAGCCUAAGGGGGUAAUCAGGUCUUAGCUGGUUUAAACUAGUUUAACUGUUUUCCCAGCAAGCAGAUGUUUAGCUAAUGUUUCCCAAAUGCCCAAACCCCUUCUAAAACCAUCCAAAAAGUCCAGCUUGGCCAGGCUGGGAGACCAGCCAAGCACUUUAGGCUGGUUUCAGCAGGGGUGCGCUUUGCAUCAAACUGGGCAGUUGAGUUGCUUUCUUUGUAAACCGUUCCAAAUCGCUCACUUAUGAGGGUCUGUUUUAGUUUGGAUGCCACCUUAGAAGGCAGCUCACUAGGUUUUGCAGCCGAUCUUGUCUGUGUGCACAGGUGGACAUAAAUAUGAAACCGUUUUCUAUAAACAGUCAAAAAGCACACAAGUUUUCUGUAUCUUCCCAAUAUAUUAUUUUUUUUAAUGCAUUGACUUUUUUGCACUAAACCGAUAGAUAUGUUCAGACUUACAGCGGCCCUGUCUAAAAUAAUCCUGUCAUGUCACAUUUAAGGCCCUGGACUGGUAGCAGCGUCGUCUUUUGUGUGAAGCAUUAGUGGGAUCCUGAAUAGCACUAUUUUUCAAGCCGAUCAUUUUAGACGAGCGUUUUAAUGGAACGUGGGCAACUCUCUUCUGUAGCUUACGUCUCCCCUUUUUUGUCUCGUGAAAACAUCACGGUUACAUAUCAGAAAGCCAUAAGCAGAAUAUCAUCAAUUAUGUUUGUGUGUUCGCAGGCACUUACAAUGCAAGAAUGACACAUGGCUGUAGCACGCAGUCCAAAAACCUCCUCCGGUUCUCAACUGACCCAAACCAGAGAAAAUAGUGGAACGAGAGAGCGAAAGCAAUAACGGCAAGUCAGAAAGAAGGAAAUGCCAAGUCCUGAAACAGAAUACUGAAUAAAAGAUGCAGGGAAAGGAAAUGUAAAGAAAGUGAAAAUCAAUAAAAUAUAAAUCAAAAUGAGAAUGAGGGAGAAGGAGAGAGAGAGACAGAAGUGUGAUACUGUGGACCAACUUUGGAUUGGAAAGGCGUAUUGGCCUGAAGGGAACAGGAUUGAGAUGUUUGGCGUGAGCUGAUUUCAGAGCUUGCACUGUCAUUUUGAAUGCCAUUGGGCGGAUAGUUUUUUGUAAAAGCUGUAAUUUUGACGGCAAUUGUUGUACAGUGUAUAUACGCAAGUUGUUCAAAUGCAGAUUUUGUAGAUAUUGAACUGCAAUCGUGGCAGGGUUUGUGCAUCCAGCGGACGAAAAGGACAAACACGCAAACCCACGUACUUUCGCUGCCAUUUGUAACAGAUUUAUGCAUCUUUUAUUUUUUUUUGAUUUUCACCACUUUUUACUUUUUUCAGAACAUCAGUUUCUCCGCCCCUUUUUUAAAUUGUAUUUUUAUUUCCGUUUCGCCGUGUUUAUAUUAUAGAAAAGGGAAUUCCUCUGCUCCUGUUGGAUUUGCGCAGGGGGUUUAUUUUUAUUCAGUUGUUUGUUUUGUUUUAAUUUCGUCUUUGAUUCAUAUUGUUUUGUUGACUGUAAAACAGUAUUAAAACAUGCUUGUUAUACGUGUAAAAAUGCUUUUCUUCACUCCUGGAUUUUUGUUUAGUUUGUUUUGUUUGGUGUUUUUUUAAAAUCAAUGCUAAAAUUAAAAAAGAAUAUUGAUC